GGGUUGUGAGGUUAAGCGACUAAGCGUACACGGUGGAUGCCCUGGCAGUCAGAGGCGAUGAAGGGCGUACUAAUCUGCGAUAAGCGCCGGUAAGGUGAUAUGAACCGUUAUAACCGGCGAUACCCGAAUGGGGAAACCCAGUGUGAUUCGUCACACUAUCAUUAACUGAAUCCAUAGGUUAAUGAGGCGAACCGGGGGAACUGAAACAUCUAAGUACCCCGAGGAAAAGAAAUCAACCGAGAUUCCCCCAGUAGCGGCGAGCGAACGGGGAGGAGCCCAGAGCCUGAAUCAGCAUGUGUGUUAGUGGAAGCGUCUGGAAAGGCGCGCGAUACAGGGUGACAGCCCCGUACACAAAAGCGCAUGUGCUGUGAGCUCGAUGAGUAGGGCGGGACACGUGGUAUCCUGUCUGAAUAUGGGGGGACCAUCCUCCAAGGCUAAAUACUCCUGACUGACCGAUAGUGAACCAGUACCGUGAGGGAAAGGCGAAAAGAACCCCGGCGAGGGGAGUGAAAAAGAACCUGAAACCGUGUACGUACAAGCAGUGGGAGCACAGNNNNNNNNNNNNNACUGCGUACCUUUUGUAUAAUGGGUCAGCGACUUAUAUUCUGUAGCAAGGUUAACCGAAUAGGGGAGCCGGAGGGAAACCGAGUCUUAAUUGGGCGUUAAGUUGCAGGGUAUAGACCCGAAACCCGGUGAUCUAGCCAUGGGCAGGUUGAAGGUUGGGUAACACUAACUGGAGGACCGAACCGACUAAUGUUGAAAAAUUAGCGGAUGACCUGUGGCUGGGGGUGAAAGGCCAAUCAAACCGGGAGAUAGCUGGUUCUCCCCGAAAGCUAUUUAGGUAGCGCCUCGUGAAUUCAUCUCCGGGGGUAGAGCACUGUUUCGGCUAGGGGGCCAUCCCGGCUUACCAACCCGAUGCAAACUGCGAAUACCGGAGAAUGUUAUCACGGGAGACACACGGCGGGUGCUAACGUCCGUCGUGAAGAGGGAAACAACCCAGACCGCCAGCUAAGGUCCCAAAGUCAUGGUUAAGUGGGAAACGAUGUGGGAAGGCCCAGACAGCCAGGAUGUUGGCUUAGAAGCAGCCAUCAUUUAAAGAAAGCGUAAUAGCUCACUGGUCGAGUCGGCCUGCGCGGAAGAUGUAACGGGGCUAAACCAUGCACCGAAGCUGCGGCAGCGACACUGUGUGUUGUUGGGUAGGGGAGCGUUCUGUAAGCCUGCGAAGGUGGCCUGUGAGGGUUGCUGGAGGUAUCAGAAGUGCGAAUGCUGACAUAAGUAACGAUAAAGCGGGUGAAAAGCCCGCUCGCCGGAAGACCAAGGGUUCCUGUCCAACGUUAAUCGGGGCAGGGUGAGUCGACCCCUAAGGCGAGGCCGAAAGGCGUAGUCGAUGGGAAACGGGUUAAUAUUCCCGUACUUGGUGUUACUGCGAAGGGGGGACGGAGAAGGCUAUGUUGGCCGGGCGACGGUUGUCCCGGUUUAAGCGUGUAGGUGUGUGUUCCAGGUAAAUCCGGUUCACUUUAACACUGAGGCGUGACGACGAGGCACUACGGUGCUGAAGCAACAAAUGCCCUGCUUCCAGGAAAAGCCUCUAAGCAUCAGGUAACAUCAAAUCGUACCCCAAACCGACACAGGUGGUCAGGUAGAGAAUACCAAGGCGCUUGAGAGAACUCGGGUGAAGGAACUAGGCAAAAUGGUGCCGUAACUUCGGGAGAAGGCACGCUGACACGUAGGUGAAGUGAUUUACUCAUGGAGCUGAAGUCAGUCGAAGAUACCAGCUGGCUGCAACUGUUUAUUAAAAACACAGCACUGUGCAAACACGAAAGUGGACGUAUACGGUGUGACGCCUGCCCGGUGCCGGAAGGUUAAUUGAUGGGGUCAGCGCAAGCGAAGCUCCUGAUCGAAGCCCCGGUAAACGGCGGCCGUAACUAUAACGGUCCUAAGGUAGCGAAAUUCCUUGUCGGGUAAGUUCCGACCUGCACGAAUGGCGUAAUGAUGGCCAGGCUGUCUCCACCCGAGACUCAGUGAAAUUGAACUCGCUGUGAAGAUGCAGUGUACCCGCGGCAAGACGGAAAGACCCCGUGAACCUUUACUAUAGCUUGACACUGAACAUUGAGCCUUGAUGUGUAGGAUAGGUGGGAGGCUUUGAAGUGUGGACGCCAGUCUGCAUGGAGCCGACCUUGAAAUACCACCCUUUAAUGUUUGAUGUUCUAACGUGGACCCGUUACCCGGGUUGCGGACAGUGUCUGGUGGGUAGUUUGACUGGGGCGGUCUCCUCCUAAAGAGUAACGGAGGAGCACGAAGGUUGGCUAAUCCUGGUCGGACAUCAGGAGGUUAGUGCAAUGGCAUAAGCCAGCUUGACUGCGAGCGUGACGGCGCGAGCAGGUGCGAAAGCAGGUCAUAGUGAUCCGGUGGUUCUGAAUGGAAGGGCCAUCGCUCAACGGAUAAAAGGUACUCCGGGGAUAACAGGCUGAUACCGCCCAAGAGUUCAUAUCGACGGCGGUGUUUGGCACCUCGAUGUCGGCUCAUCACAUCCUGGGGCUGAAGUAGGUCCCAAGGGUAUGGCUGUUCGCCAUUUAAAGUGGUACGCGAGCUGGGUUUAGAACGUCGUGAGACAGUUCGGUCCCUAUCUGCCGUGGGCGCUGGAGAACUGAGGGGGGCUGCUCCUAGUACGAGAGGACCGGAGUGGACGCAUCACUGGUGUUCGGGUUGUCAUGCCAAUGGCACUGCCCGGUAGCUAAAUGCGGAAGAGAUAAGUGCUGAAAGCAUCUAAGCACGAAACUUGCCCCGAGAUGAGUUCUCCCUGAGACUUAAAGUCUCCUGAAGGAACGUUGAAGACGACGACGUUGAUAGGCCGGGUGUGUAAGCGCAGCGAUGCGUUGAGCUAACCGGUACUAAUGAACCGUGAGGCUUAACCUUACAACGCCGAAG
This 2928-nucleotide ribosomal RNA is filed under the name Salmonella enterica subsp. enterica serovar Enteritidis str. SA20093430. RNAcentral describes it as "bacterial LSU rRNA". It matches the Rfam family "Bacterial large subunit ribosomal RNA". The record is from RNAcentral. Lineage: Bacteria; Pseudomonadati; Pseudomonadota; Gammaproteobacteria; Enterobacterales; Enterobacteriaceae.